GACGAACGCUGGCGGCGUGCUUAACACAUGCAAGUCGAACGAUGAAGCCCUUUCGGGGGUGGAUUAGUGGCGAACGGGUGAGUAACACGUGGGUAACCUGCCCUGUACCCUGGGAUAAGCCUUGGAAACGAGGUCUAAUACCGGAUAUGACCUGCUCUCGCAUGGGGGUGGGUGGAAAGUUUUGGCGGUGCAGGAUGGACCCGCGGCCUAUCAGCUUGUUGGUGGGGUGAUGGCCUACCAAGGCGACGACGGGUAGCCGGCCUGAGAGGGCGACCGGCCACACUGGGACUGAGACACGGCCCAGACUCCUACGGGAGGCAGCAGUGGGGAAUAUUGCACAAUGGGCGAAAGCCUGAUGCAGCGACGCCGCGUGA
This 374-nucleotide ribosomal RNA is filed under the name uncultured bacterium. RNAcentral's name for it is "bacterial SSU rRNA". It matches the Rfam family "Bacterial small subunit ribosomal RNA", at positions 28 to 404 of the family's 1533-position model. The record is from RNAcentral.